GGAAGGUUGUCCGAGCGGCCGAAGGAGACGGUCUUGAAAACCGUUGUGCAGCGACCCUGCACCAAGGGUUCGAAUCCCUUACCUUCCG
RNAcentral lists this transfer RNA (88 nucleotides) under Kocuria palustris. RNAcentral's name for it is "tRNA-Ser". It matches the Rfam family "tRNA". Rfam says of the family: Transfer RNA (tRNA) molecules are approximately 80 nucleotides in length. Their secondary structure includes four short double-helical elements and three loops (D, anti-codon, and T loops). The record is from RNAcentral. Lineage: Bacteria; Bacillati; Actinomycetota; Actinomycetes; Micrococcales; Micrococcaceae. RNAcentral also lists the same sequence under 7 other names.